GGAAAUUUAGGUUAACCUUUAAACCAAGGGCCUUCAAAGCCCUAAACACGAGACACACACUCCUAAUUUCCG
RNAcentral lists this transfer RNA (72 nucleotides) under Haemodracon riebeckii. Its description in RNAcentral is "tRNA-Trp". It matches the Rfam family "tRNA". From Rfam's summary of the family: Transfer RNA (tRNA) molecules are approximately 80 nucleotides in length. Their secondary structure includes four short double-helical elements and three loops (D, anti-codon, and T loops). Further hydrogen bonds mediate the characteristic L-shaped molecular structure. tRNAs have two regions of fundamental functional importance: the anti-codon, which is responsible for specific mRNA codon recognition, and the 3' end, to which the tRNAs corresponding amino acid is attached (by aminoacyl-tRNA synthetases). tRNAs cope with the degeneracy of the genetic code in two manners: having more than one tRNA (with a specific anti-codon) for a particular amino acid; and 'wobble' base-pairing, i.e. permitting non-standard base-pairing at the 3rd anti-codon position. The record is from RNAcentral. Lineage: Eukaryota; Metazoa; Chordata; Lepidosauria; Squamata; Phyllodactylidae.